CCCUUAGAUGUUCUGGGCCGCACGCGCGCUACACUGACGAAGUCAGCGAGCAUGUCCUACGCUGACAGGUGCGGGGAAUCUUGUCAAACCUCGUCGUGAUGGGGAUUGAUUAUUGAAAUUCUUGAUCAUCAACGAGGAAUUCCUAGUAAGCGCAAGUCAGCAGCUUGCGUUGAUUACGUCCCUGCCCUUUGUACACACCGCCCGUCGCUACUACCGAUUGAAUGGUUUAGUGAGAUCUUCGGAUUGGCGCCACUGCGGCUCAGCAAUGGGCUCGGUGGAUGCCGAAAAGUUGAUCAAACUUGAUCAUUUAGAGGAAGUAAAAGUCGUAACA
RNAcentral lists this ribosomal RNA (331 nucleotides) under uncultured eukaryote. RNAcentral describes it as "partial 18S ribosomal RNA". It matches the Rfam family "Eukaryotic small subunit ribosomal RNA", at positions 1470 to 1796 of the family's 1831-position model. The record is from RNAcentral.